CACAAGCGGUGGAGCAUGUGGUUAAUUCGACGCAACGCGAAGAACCUUACCAGGGCUUGACAUCCCCUGACCGCGUAUGAAAGUACGUUUUCACCCUCGGGUGACGGGGAGACAGGUGGUGCAUGGUUGUCGUCAGCUCGUGUCGUGAGAUGUUGGGUUAAGUCCCGCAACGAGCGCAACCCCUACGUUUAGUUGCUAACGCGUGAAGGCGAGCACUCUAGACGAACUGCCGUUGACAAGACGGAGGAAGGUGGGAUGACGUCAAAUCAUCAUGCCCCUUAUGUUCUGGGCUACACACGUGCUACAAUGGCCGGUACAGACGGACGCAAAGCCGCGAGGUGGAGCAAAUCCUAAAAAGCCGGUCUCAGUUCGGAUUGCAGGCUGCAAUUCGCCUGCAUGAAGUCGGAAUCGCUAGUAAUCGCAGGUCAGCAUACUGCGGUGAAUACGUUCCCGGGCCUU
Molecule: ribosomal RNA, 459 nt
Filed under: uncultured Pelotomaculum sp.
Lineage: Bacteria; Bacillati; Bacillota; Clostridia; Eubacteriales; Desulfotomaculaceae
Description: bacterial SSU rRNA
Rfam family: Bacterial small subunit ribosomal RNA
Source: RNAcentral